Molecule: non-coding RNA, 1694 nt
Organism: Anas platyrhynchos (mallard)
Lineage: Eukaryota; Metazoa; Chordata; Aves; Anseriformes; Anatidae
Source: RefSeq, a predicted model, not a curated record
GAGGAAGUUGUAGACCAUUUACUCAGUGUCUUUAUUCCUUCAUCUUGGAAAUUCCCAGACUCUAGGCAGAUUAGGGGAGUCCUCUUGUGUCCUAAUACUCAUUUGUUACAAGCCCUUUUUUUUGUUACUCUAAAUGCACUAACUUUAGAGAAUGGUAUUUGAAGAGAAAAGUAAAUUUGUCUGAAUCCAAGUUGAAGAUAACUGCUUCGCUCUUGUCUCCAAUAAUUUAGGGAAAGGGCUAAGAAACUGAAGAAAAUGUAGAGGGAAAAAAAAAGAAAAAGAGGUGGAAGGAUAGCUGCUUCUGCAUACCAGGGAGCUGCAGUGGUUAUGAAUCGUGUCUGAAGGCAAAAGCUACAGUCACUCAAGAUAAGCACCUCUUGAGCCUGUAAAUGUGAUCUACUGGAGCUGACCUGAAAUAUUAUCUGCUAUUGAGAUGUGUGUUUGUACAGUCCAGAGUCACUACAUCACUAACAGAGGAAAUUCAUCGAUUUACGCUUUCAAUUUGACCGUGUGUACUGAAGCAGAUGAAGAAUUUCUUCAGGAAUAACUUCUGUUACCAUCACCGAAUAUUUCUGAGAGGAUGAAGUUGGAGGAAAUUUCUGUUCUUUGUUUCUGUACACACAUUCUCUUUAGCACUUCUUCCCCAUCAGAGGGAAGCGAUAAAGUCCUGUUCCCAACAGCUCAGCUGGGAGAGCAGGGCAUGAGGCGUCGGAGGAGAGGAGCGGCUGGAGGACAUGGGCUACACUUACCUUGUCUGGUACAGCACUCCUUGGGGAUUUUGAUAAACUGCAGCAGACCAUAGACAAAGCCAAGGUUGGGUCAAAGAACCAGCGAGAUAUAAAUGGCCUUGCUCUCUGUUGCGCUCCUGCAGACAGCAUUUAGCCUUGAGGCUUUCCAUUCACAGAAUGGAAACUUAAGGUACUUUGGUAAUACAGUGGGUCACAUUUUUGCCUAAUCCGUAGCAGUUGUAUGCUCUGUAGCAGGUUUCCAGCUGAAAGAGAAAAGGGUGGUUGUCCUUUCUAUUCUGCCUCUUAGUGUAGAGCAUUUUAAUAUUAUGGCAUUCUUCUGAGAGUUAACUUGAGCACUUGCAGCAUGUUUUAAAAGUGCCUCACUUCAUACAGCAUGUCUCCUAAGGACUGUUUUUCUUGGGUCAGUGUGAUUCCAGUAAGGGUUCAUUGAUAAAACUUAAGAAGAUUUAAAACGAAGCUUCUCCAAAAGAGCCCAUUGUUUCUGAUUAACAUGAAUUGAUUUGAUGGAAGUGUUUCUCCAGCUCACUGGCAGGUCACUUGUGUAGUAAAUUAAAGACUGGGCCUGUAGGCCCAACAAUAAUUGAAUUUAUUUACUGGCUUGUGUUUCUGUUUAUGAGGGUGAGCAAUGGUUUCCAUUACAAUGUGUUUGUGUAGCAAUAUAGCACACCUGCUUUUCAGAAGACAGUAUCAUAAAGUACUCACUUGGAUUGUCUUGUCUCAUGUUGCAGAGGUCACUGUAUCUUGUGCUCUAUAAAAACAAACAAAAGUGCAAGAGCACAUAAUAACUCUCCUUUAAAGAAACAAUUAAAACUAGUAGUCAUAAAGACAUACCGUUGAAUAAGAUAGCACUUGAAUUUUUGUGGAAAUGCUGAACAAUUUUAAAUGGUUGAUAUAUCCGAAACUAUAUAUGUAUAUUGAUAUAAUAAAUACAUUUCACUACUUAAA